AUUCAUUUUUGAUGCUUCUUGCUUUUUUAAAGCAAAAUUUUAUUCUGUGAAGUGUUUUUGAAAGUGCAAGUUGUGUAUAUUGAAAAAAGUUAAUAAAUUAAAAUAAAUUAAUAAAAUAAGAAUAUAGUAAGUGUUGUGUGUUAAAUAAUUUAAUAAAAUGUCAGGAUUCAGUAGGAGAAAUUUAAGACGAUUAAAGAAAGUGGAAGCAGACAAUUUAAAAAGAAAUGCACAGUUGAGGACGGACUGUUUGGAAAACUAUGAUAUUGUACUAAAUGAGCAGAUUCCAUGCAUUCCAAAAUAGUAGAAGAUUUUGAAAGAUAUGUUAGUAUAAUAAAAAUUAUAAUUUCACUAGAUGGCCUUAUUUAAAACUUCUGCAAGAUUAUUGACAUUUCUAUAAUAUUAACUUACAACUAUGAUGGCACCCAAAAUAAAAAUGCGUUUAAGGAAUAUAAACUUUUAAACAUGGCCAUUUCCGAAGCUGUCAUAUGUGGAGGAUUAACUGAACAGGAUUACGACAAAAAAAUUAGAAAAUGUUUCAAAUUCCCUAUUCCAGACACUUCCGAACAAUGUCCUACAAUAAAAAAAACUGGAAAAAUUUAAUUGUUUUUCUUUAGUUUAAGCUUUGUUUCUUCCCACGUCUUUUGAAUAAGUUUUAUGAAUUUAUUUUUUAAGCAUUAUUUCCAAUUAUAAUAAGAAUAUUUUAUUGUUGAGAACACUGUUCUAUAAUACGAAUAUUUUAAUAAAAAACAGCUGAAUUUAAGUUCCACAAUCUAAAAUCUUGAUGGAAUCGGACCCAUCCAAUCUUCGCUUACAAUGUUGAUAGAUUUCGGACCCAUCCAACAUUCGCUUACGUUGUCGGUCGAUUUCGGACCCAUCCAACAUUCGCUUACAUUGUCGGUAGAUUUCG
This is a long non-coding RNA of Musca domestica (house fly), 907 nucleotides long. RefSeq lists it as uncharacterized. The transcript has 3 exons. The record is from RefSeq and is a predicted model, not a curated record. Lineage: Eukaryota; Metazoa; Arthropoda; Insecta; Diptera; Muscidae.